Molecule: ribosomal RNA, 1100 nt
Filed under: Bacillus pumilus
Lineage: Bacteria; Bacillati; Bacillota; Bacilli; Caryophanales; Bacillaceae
Description: bacterial SSU rRNA
Rfam family: Bacterial small subunit ribosomal RNA
Source: RNAcentral
GCAGUCGAGCGGACAGAAGGGAGCUUGCUCCCGGAUGUUAGCGGCGGACGGGUGAGUAACACGUGGGUAACCUGCCUGUAAGACUGGGAUAACUCCGGGAAACCGGAGCUAAUACCGGAUAGUUCCUUGAACCGCAUGGUUCAAGGAUGAAAGACGGUUUCGGCUGUCACUUACAGAUGGACCCGCGGCGCAUUAGCUAGUUGGUGGGGUAAUGGCUCACCAAGGCGACGAUGCGUAGCCGACCUGAGAGGGUGAUCGGCCACACUGGGACUGAGACACGGCCCAGACUCCUACGGGAGGCAGCAGUAGGGAAUCUUCCGCAAUGGACGAAAGUCUGACGGAGCAACGCCGCGUGAGUGAUGAAGGUUUUCGGAUCGUAAAGCUCUGUUGUUAGGGAAGAACAAGUGCGAGAGUAACUGCUCGCACCUUGACGGUACCUAACCAGAAAGCCACGGCUAACUACGUGCCAGCAGCCGCGGUAAUACGUAGGUGGCAAGCGUUGUCCGGAAUUAUUGGGCGUAAAGGGCUCGCAGGCGGUUUCUUAAGUCUGAUGUGAAAGCCCCCGGCUCAACCGGGGAGGGUCAUUGGAAACUGGGAAACUUGAGUGCAGAAGAGGAGAGUGGAAUUCCACGUGUAGCGGUGAAAUGCGUAGAGAUGUGGAGGAACACCAGUGGCGAAGGCGACUCUCUGGUCUGUAACUGACGCUGAGGAGCGAAAGCGUGGGGAGCGAACAGGAUUAGAUACCCUGGUAGUCCACGCCGUAAACGAUGAGUGCUAAGUGUUAGGGGGUUUCCGCCCCUUAGUGCUGCAGCUAACGCAUUAAGCACUCCGCCUGGGGAGUACGGUCGCAAGACUGAAACUCAAAGGAAUUGACGGGGGCCCGCACAAGCGGUGGAGCAUGUGGUUUAAUUCGAAGCAACGCGAAGAACCUUACCAGGUCUUGACAUCCUCUGACAACCCUAGAGAUAGGGCUUUCCCUUCGGGGACAAGUGACAGGUGGUGCAUGGUGUCGUCAGCUCGUGUCGUGAGAUGUUGGGUUAAGUCCCGCAACGAGCGCAACCUUGAUCUUAGUUGCCAGCAUUCAGUUGGGCCUCUAAGGG